GCAAGCCUGACGGAGCAAUACCGCGUGAGGGAGGAAGGCUCUUGGGUCGUAAACCUCUUUUCUCAGGGAAGAACACAAUGACGGUACCUGAGGAAUCAGCAUCGGCUAACUCCGUGCCAGCAGCCGCGGUAAUACGGAGGAUGCAAGCGUUAUCCGGAAUGAUUGGGCGUAAAGCGUCCGUAGGUGGUUUUGUAAGUCUGUGGUUAAAGCGUGUAGCUCAACUACAUAAGGGCCAUGGAAACUACAAGACUUGAGUGAAGUAGGGGUAGAGGGAAUUCCCAGUGUAGCGGUGAAAUGCGUAGAGAUUGGGAAGAACACCGGUGGCGAAAGCGCUCUACUGGACUUAGACUGACACUGAGGGACGAAAGCUAG
RNAcentral lists this ribosomal RNA (372 nucleotides) under uncultured cyanobacterium. Its description in RNAcentral is "bacterial SSU rRNA". It matches the Rfam family "Bacterial small subunit ribosomal RNA", at positions 377 to 763 of the family's 1533-position model. The record is from RNAcentral. Lineage: Bacteria; Bacillati; Cyanobacteriota.